GGCCCGUUCGGCUAUCGGUUAGGACACAAGAUUUUCAUUCUUGGAAGAGGGGUUCGAUUCCCCUAGGGGCUA
Molecule: transfer RNA, 72 nt
Filed under: Rikenella sp.
Lineage: Bacteria; Pseudomonadati; Bacteroidota; Bacteroidia; Bacteroidales; Rikenellaceae
Description: tRNA-Glu
Rfam family: tRNA
About the family: Transfer RNA (tRNA) molecules are approximately 80 nucleotides in length.
Source: RNAcentral